Molecule: ribosomal RNA, 467 nt
Filed under: uncultured bacterium
Lineage: Bacteria
Description: partial 16S ribosomal RNA
Rfam family: Bacterial small subunit ribosomal RNA
Source: RNAcentral
GACGAACGCUGGCGGCGUGCUUAACACAUGCAAGUCGAACGGAAAGGCCCUGCUUUUGUGGGGUGCUCGAGUGGCGAACGGGUGAGUAACACGUGAGUAACCUGCCCUUGACUUUGGGAUAACUUCAGGAAACUGGGGCUAAUACCGGAUAGGAGCUCCUGCUGCAUGGUGGGGGUUGGAAAGUUUCGGCGGUUGGGGAUGGACUCGCGGCUUAUCAGCUUGUUGGUGGGGUAGUGGCUUACCAAGGCUUUGACGGGUAGCCGGCCUGAGAGGGUGACCGGCCACAUUGGGACUGAGAUACGGCCCAGACUCCUACGGGAGGCAGCAGUGGGGAUAUUGCACAAUGGGCGGAAGCCUGAUGCAGCAACGCCGCGUGCGGGAUGACGGCCUUCGGGUUGUAAACCGCUUUCGCCUGUGACGAAGCGUGAGUGACGGUAAUGGGUAAAGAAGCACCGGCUAACUACGUG